UUUCUUCUCUCUUUCUUAGUUGUUUCUCACUUUCUUCUGUUCACCACCUUUUCUGCAUGUCCAUUAUUUUCUUUCUGACCAUUAUUACAAUCAUCUCACUCUAUGUUUUGUUUACAAGGGCCUCUUACUUCUCUUCUUUUUCAAUCUGUUAGAUGACUUUAUUAUUUUUCAUAGAUGUUACUAGAUAGUGGGGUGGUUACUAAACAGUGAAAGUGUUAGUAGAUAAUGGUGUUAUGUUAUCUAAUCCAGUACUCUUCUUUCUUAUUUCCUAUUUCAUUUCUUCUUCUUCAGGUCUAUACUUAAAGUAACACAAUACAUCAGGUGUCAAAGUAUCUUAUUCUACAUUUAUGCUUAAAAAACCGAUUUUUAGUGUAGAAAUGUUUUAGAUCCUAUUUUUAUCGUUAAAAAUUGGAUAUUUAUUAUACAUCAGUUUGAUUUUAGCUUAAAAAUUCAAUCUUUAUCAUAGAAAUGUUCUAGAUCUAUUUAUAUGGUUAAAAAUCAUAUCUUUACCGUAAAAAUGUUCUGGAUUCUACUUUUAUUUUAAAAAUCGGACAUUUAUCAUACAUUACUUAGACUUAUUGAUUAAAUAUUCAUUCUUUAGUGUAGAAAUGUCCAUAACUUUUAUAUUUUUCAUAGAUGUUACUAGAUAGUGAGGUGGUUACUAAAUAGUGAAAGUGUUAGUAGAUAGUUGUGUUAUGUUAUCUAAUCCGCUACUUUUCAUUUCUUCUUUCUUAUUUCCUAUUUCAUUUCUUCUUAUUUAGGUCUAUAUUUAAAGUAACACAACACAUCAGGUAUCAAAGUAUCUUAUUCUACAUUUCUCCUUAAAAAACCGAUUUUUAGUGUACAAAUGUUUAAGAUCCUAUUUUUAUCGUUAAAAAUGAAUAUUUAUUAUACAUUAGUUGGAUUUUUGCUUAAAAAUUCAAUCGUUAUCAUAGAAAUGUUCUAGAUCUAUUUAUAUGGUUAAAAAUCAUAUCUUUAUUGUAUAUUUCUUACAUUUUUUGCUUAAAAAUAUAAUCUUUACCGUAAAAAUGUUCUGGACUCUACUUUUAUGUUUAAAAAUUGGACAUUUAUUAUACAUUACCCGGACUUAUUGAUUAAAUAUUCAUUCUUUAGUAUAGAAAUGUUCUAGAUCUUUUUUUAUUUUUAAAAAUUGGAUCUUUGUUAUACAUUACUUGAAUUUUUGUUCAAAAUUUUAUUCUUUAGCACUGAAAUGUUCUAGAUCCUUUUUUAUGGUUAAAAAUUGGAACAAUGUUAGUUGUGAUUACAUCUAUUUAAUCUAUUAUGUUCUAUAAUAAAACAUGUAAGACAUAUGAAGGAAACAUCAAAAUCUCUAUAAUAGAACUCACAUCCAACAUAGAUCUCUCAGUGUGGUGUGAAGACGGAUUUUUAUAGUGAUAUUUUUCUAUCAAUAACGCUGAGUAACGCUGAUUAAACUAUGUGUUGGUAACAUUAUUUUUCGUUUUAUUGAUAUUUUCUGUCCAGAAGUUGUAUCUAAUAGUGUCUGAAAUUUGUGAUAUUUCUUUAUGUACAUUUAAGAACUCUUCUGAUAUUCUUCUCCUACCUUAUUUAAUAAAGAACGCC
Molecule: long non-coding RNA, 1581 nt
Filed under: Lupinus angustifolius (narrow-leaved blue lupine)
Lineage: Eukaryota; Viridiplantae; Streptophyta; Magnoliopsida; Fabales; Fabaceae
Description: long non-coding RNA (LANG_LNC001354)
Source: RNAcentral